This 100-nucleotide transfer RNA is filed under the name Aspergillus sydowii CBS 593.65. It matches the Rfam family "tRNA". Rfam says of the family: Transfer RNA (tRNA) molecules are approximately 80 nucleotides in length. Their secondary structure includes four short double-helical elements and three loops (D, anti-codon, and T loops). Lineage: Eukaryota; Fungi; Ascomycota; Eurotiomycetes; Eurotiales; Aspergillaceae. The record is from Rfam by way of RNAcentral.
GGCACUUUGGCGGAGUGGCCUAACGCGGUGCCCUGCUAUACAUGUAUUGUAAGCCUAGGCAUUUCCUUCGGGAGCGUGAGUUCGAAUCUCACAGGUGUCG